UGCUAUCAGCUAAAAAUAUUCAAUACUCCGUAUGUUGGAGUAAUGGAGUGUUCCCUAAGCGCAUAUCUACUUUUCCGGAGCAAUCCUUUAAAGAAAUCUUGCAAUCAGCUCAAGAAUACUUUGCAGGAGUAUCAAACUAAGAAGAUAAGUUUCCAUAUUCUCUACGUAAAUAUUGGUAUUUUUCUUCUCUUCCUCCUUUAAUUAAGUAGUUGAGAAUUAAGUGCCCUAAUAUAUGUGAUGUUAAUCUGAGUAUUGCUUAUUUUAUUUUGUAUAAUUGGUUUUAUUUUUGGUGUUGCGCAAUAAAUUCAAUUGAAAUUGAUAACUUCACCAGGAAAGUUAGAAUUAGGCAAACUUGUCAAAAAAAUACCUUAUAAAAUUGAUAUUUGUUUUUAAAAAAAAAGUACUUUAUAGAAAAACGUUGUAAUUAACUACCUUAUAUUGUAAGAUACGAAUACUACCUUUGGUUGGAUUAUAACAUUGAUUCAAAAUUUCGGGAUUGACUUACUAGGUGUAUCUCACGUGGUAUCUAACAGAAAAAGGGGUAAUUAAGUGGCAUGUAGGAUGCAUAUGUGACAGUCAAUUCCGUAAUUUUAUUUAACAUUCAUAAUUCGGAUAAAUGUAGUAUUCUUACAACAUAAAUUUUUGAUAAGGCAGUUAAUUACAACAUUUUUUUUAUAAGUUAGUUUUUCGCAAAAAAAACUAGUUCGUAUUUUAUAACGUAGUUUUUGACAAAUUUUCCAAAGAAUUAUUGUACUUAAAUUUUUGACAAUUUGGGUUUUAAGAGAAGUUGAAGGGGAAAUGCCUUGAAUCCAUUGGGUGCAGAAUCAUUUGUAAUUUGGUUUUGGAGUAAUAAGUGGUACCUUAUGCUUUAAUUUGUAGAGCAAUGAAAUUUGGUUUAAAAUUGAUUCUCCAACUCUUUGGCGACUGAAACAUCCAUGUGCCUAAAUUCUUCAUCUCAUAGUGCUGCUCGAAUGUAAUUCGAUUCAAGAUAUAUGAUAGGCUUAUUGUUUGGUUAAUUUUAAAAGGUUCCAUAAAUCUAAAAAUGGAAUGGAAGAAAAUGAAGAAUCAGUCCUAGUGUUUACUUAUAUAUACCGACUGUCAUUGUUUCAUAAAACAUGCAAUACUUGAGAAGCCGCACAGGCACACACAUACAUGAUGCAUACAUACAUACAUACAUACAUACUCAUUAUAGGUAAAUGGGUUGCUUCCCUUCCAAACACAACAGAAAACCUCAUUUGAUCAGUUUGAGUCCGGAAGAAGAUGAUGAGCUCACUUCCCGACCACCUUCUUUCCCACAUACUAUGUUUCCUCCCAUCCAUUCAUUUUGCCGUCGCCACCUCUGUCUUAUCCCGGCGAUGGCGUUACCUUUGGAUGGGAGUUGUCAGCUUCAAAUGCACCAAACCCCUUAGAGGACUUAAAACCCUCUGCCCCAUUCUUCAUCUCACUUCCUCCAAACUCUCUAUCUGUUUUUUGAGCUUUAUGAUAAGUCUUCUUCUGUGGAUGUUAACGACUUGAAAUUGUGCCUUGGAAAUUACCUACAACAAUAGAGCCUUACAUACCAGAUGAUUCCUCUCUAAAAUUGUUGGGGUUGGAAAGAUAUGCAAGCAUGGAUAUGAACCUAGCCAAUUUCGUAUUGAUGCACCCAAAUUGGCAGACCUAAUGGAGCGGUUCAUAUUACUUGUUUGUUAGGAAUCGUACUCAAUUUGUCUCAGAUUGUGUUGACAUCACCCCUGAAUUAAGCAUUAGGAUGAGGACAGAUGCAGAACAUUACCUAUUUCAGAUGCGAAAGUUUCUUCAAGGAAUGUGUCAUGCUAAUAAUGUUCACUUAGGUGGCGACGGCGAUGUAUUACCUUACCACCAUACAAUUAAUGAUGAGGUUAAGCCAAUGUUUCAUAAUCUUACCUGU
This is a long non-coding RNA of Spinacia oleracea (spinach), 1906 nucleotides long. RefSeq lists it as uncharacterized. NCBI's taxonomy places the organism in Eukaryota, Viridiplantae, Streptophyta, Magnoliopsida, Caryophyllales, Amaranthaceae. The record is from RefSeq and is a predicted model, not a curated record. The transcript is spliced from 2 exons.